UCUUAAAAUUUUAUCCAUUUGUACGAUUUAAAACUGGUAUGGCUGACAAAAUAAUUAGAUAAUGACACAUGACAUGUUAUGUGUACUUCAUGUUGACGUACGAGGAUCAAUUUUAAAUAGCAAAAAUGGAUGCAAUUUUUAACA
This is a non-coding RNA of Gossypium hirsutum (cotton), 144 nucleotides long. NCBI's taxonomy places the organism in Eukaryota, Viridiplantae, Streptophyta, Magnoliopsida, Malvales, Malvaceae. The record is from Rfam.